Molecule: long non-coding RNA, 1504 nt
Filed under: Sus scrofa (pig)
Lineage: Eukaryota; Metazoa; Chordata; Mammalia; Artiodactyla; Suidae
Description: lncRNA (ENSSSCG00030053028.1)
Source: RNAcentral
GCUGUAGUGCGCAUAUAUAUGUAUAAAUGUGUGUGCAUGUAGUGUAUGUGUCAGAUGUGUAUUACAUAAUGCAUAGAGCAGUAUAUGUAUAUAUGGUGGCUACAGUAGUGUGGCCCCUGGGGCUCGCUGGUUAGCUUCUAGUCUGAUCACAACCCCCCAUUAUGCCCUAGACAUGAUUUUGCCUCACUGCCAACUCCACUACCUUGCUGCUUUUCUCCCACCAAGUUCACCUCAUUGUGUAAUAAAGACAGCCCCCAGGAAAAGCCCAGAUCGGAUUAGCACAGGGGGGACUGUUAUUUCUUCUCCCUGGGGAUCCACAGCUUCAAAAAGAUGCUGCUGCCCCAGGCCCUCUCUUUAAAUCAGCAACAACCUAGGCAGACCAACCCCACUGCUCAGGAAACGGGGCUGGAGUCAGUGCUCUGAAAAUGCAGAGGUACUGGGUAAGAAAGAAAAGAAAAGUUGAUGAGUCUCAAAAGCUCAAACAGAAAACUAGAAUUUAUUGAUUUUUUUUUUUCCCCACCUAGCCCUCUAGAACUCAGAUUUCUCGAAUUGCUAUUAAAAACUGCUCAAAUGCAAAUACUGUAGUAUUUCAUCUUCCUGGAGUAUUUUUCUUUGUCAGGAGAUGAAGUGGGUGGAUCUUUUCCUCCUCUAAAAGUCUUUGAAUCAAACUUUAAGGCUCUGAAUUUUGAGCUCCUAAGAGUUAGGUGCAAUGCCAAGUUCUAAGGAAUCCCUCAGGGAAGUCGCAGAGAGGCAAAAGAGUUCGAUGCCCGGCACAGUGGGUUAGGUUGCAACUGUGACUCCAAUGUCUGGCCCAGGAGCUCCAUAUGCUGAAGGCCAAAAAAUCACCCCCCCCCCAAAAAAAAGAAAUAUGUGAGUAUUUGGGAAGGAGGAUAAUAACUCUGAUGUGUGUGUGUGUCGGUAAUAAAGGAAGCAUCUUUACUUCUGGAGAGAAUAGGGAACUGGAUCUUGGCAAGCUCGAUUUCCUCCAUUGUUUUGAGUUGCCCUUUGAACCCACAGGAUGUGGAGGGGAGGGGGGGAGAGCCUGCCGAAAGGAAAUUUCUGUGGCUUCUGUGCUUGAAAGGGUGAUACAAGCAAGGAGAACAAAGAGUGAGGCAAAGCUGCCGAAAGAUGCUAAAACAAAAAGGACUGGAGACGCGAUAAGGCAGGAAUCACCUGUUACUUCUUAGGUUUGAGAGGGCUUUUCUGUAGGGAAUCACGUGGUAAAAGACAAAUGGGUGGAAACUCAUCAUUGAAAAUAAUGCAUUGAUGGAGUUCACCUCGUGGCUCAGCAGAAACAAAUCUGACCAGCAUCCAUGAAGACAGGUGUUCGAUACCUGGCCUUGCUCGGUGGGUUAAGGAUCCGGCGUUGGCCAUGAGCUGUGAUGUAGGUCACAGAUGCGGCUCUGAUCUGGCAUUGCGAUGGUAUAGGUCAGCGGCUACAGCUUCCAACUCAACCACGUAGCAUGGAAACCUCCAUAUGCCAUGGGUGCAGCCCUAAGAAGAC